This 275-nucleotide ribosomal RNA is filed under the name uncultured prokaryote. Its description in RNAcentral is "partial 16S ribosomal RNA". It matches the Rfam family "Bacterial small subunit ribosomal RNA", at positions 524 to 798 of the family's 1533-position model. The record is from RNAcentral.
UACGUAGGGGGCAAGCGUUAUCCGGAUUUACUGGGUGUAAAGGGAGCGCAGACGGCAGUGCAAGUCUGAUGUGAAAGCCCGGGGCUCAACCCCGGAACUGCAUUGGAAACUGUACAGCUUGAGUGUCGGAGAGGUAAGCGGAAUUCCUAGUGUAGCGGUGAAAUGCGUAGAUAUUAGGAGGAACACCGGUGGCGAAGGCGGCUUACUGGACGAUAACUGACGUUGAGGCUCGAAAGCGUGGGGAGCAAACAGGAUUAGAUACCCUGGUAGUCCCU